This 71-nucleotide transfer RNA is filed under the name Bos taurus (domestic cattle). It matches the Rfam family "tRNA". Rfam says of the family: Transfer RNA (tRNA) molecules are approximately 80 nucleotides in length. Their secondary structure includes four short double-helical elements and three loops (D, anti-codon, and T loops). Further hydrogen bonds mediate the characteristic L-shaped molecular structure. tRNAs have two regions of fundamental functional importance: the anti-codon, which is responsible for specific mRNA codon recognition, and the 3' end, to which the tRNAs corresponding amino acid is attached (by aminoacyl-tRNA synthetases). tRNAs cope with the degeneracy of the genetic code in two manners: having more than one tRNA (with a specific anti-codon) for a particular amino acid; and 'wobble' base-pairing, i.e. permitting non-standard base-pairing at the 3rd anti-codon position. The record is from Rfam by way of RNAcentral. RNAcentral also lists the same sequence under 2 other names. Lineage: Eukaryota; Metazoa; Chordata; Mammalia; Artiodactyla; Bovidae.
CCCUGGUGGCUCAGAUGGUAAAGAGUCUGCCUGCAAUGCAGGAGACCCAGGUUCAAUCCCUGGACCAGGAA